UUAAGGUUAAAAGGAUUAAAUUACAUUGAAACAUUGGUCACGAAAAGGUUGCAUCGAAUCAUCGAUCUUAUUAUUACUUGGGUAGCAGUGAUGCAUUACUAGAUGCCGCUCAUUGUUUAUAAUUUUAUAAUAUGAUUUUAAAAUUAUUGCCAACGUAAUAAUAACCUAUAGGGUCACACACAAAGAACGUAAUUAAAAAG
RNAcentral lists this long non-coding RNA (200 nucleotides) under Panax ginseng (ginseng). Its description in RNAcentral is "long non-coding RNA (PGIN_LNC003345)". The record is from RNAcentral. Lineage: Eukaryota; Viridiplantae; Streptophyta; Magnoliopsida; Apiales; Araliaceae.